Molecule: ribosomal RNA, 623 nt
Filed under: Cyanobacterium sp. PSGH
Lineage: Bacteria; Bacillati; Cyanobacteriota; Cyanophyceae; Chroococcales; Geminocystaceae
Description: bacterial SSU rRNA
Rfam family: Bacterial small subunit ribosomal RNA
Source: RNAcentral
ACUGCUAAUACCGAAUGUGCCUUAGGGUGAAAGAUUUAUCGUCGAUAGAUUGGCUCGCGUCAGAUUAGCUAGUUGGUGAGGUAAAGGCUCACCAAGGCGACGAUCUGUAACUGGUCUGAGAGGAUGACCAGUCACACUGGAACUGAGACACGGUCCAGACUCCUACGGGAGGCAGCAGUGGGGAAUUUUCCGCAAUGGGCGAAAGCCUGACGGAGCAAUACCGCGUGUGGGAGGACGCUUUUUGGAGUGUAAACCACUUUUAUUAGGGAAGAAGAACUGACGGUACCUAAUGAAUCAGCAUCGGCUAACUCCGUGCCAGCAGCCGCGGUAAUACGGGGGAUGCAAGCGUUAUCCGGAAUUAUUGGGCGUAAAGCGUCCGUAGGUGGCUUAUCAAGUCUGUUGUCAAAGCGUGCGGCUCAACCGCAUACGGGCGAUGGAAACUGAUGAGCUAGAGUGCGAUAGGGGUCAGGGGAAUUCCCGGUGUAGCGGUGAAAUGCGUAGAUAUCGGGAAGAACACCAGUGGCGAAAGCGCCUGACUGGGUCUGCACUGACACUGAGGGACGAAAGCUAGGGGAGCGAAUGGGAUUAGAUACCCCAGUAGUCACGCGUUACUCACCCGUCCG